UCUUCCCAACCGAAACAAUUGAUUGGAUCAUCGUAUUUUGUGGAGUUGGAAGUGGGUUGGUUGUUGGGAUUGCUAUCGGGAACAAUCUUCAUACAAGGUAUAGUCAUCAGAUCACAAAGAGGAAGGACACAUGGGUAAGGCCUCUUCGUAACACUAGGAGAAACCAAGGUAUAAUAAUUCGUUAAAUUACUUGAAGCUAUUUUUCAAGAUAAUAGUUUGUUAUGUGCAUGUGGUAUCAACCAAAUAGAAAAUGUUUUCGGCAUGUCAUCCAAAACAAUACAAUGCUUCUAUAUAUUUCUUAAUUAAAUUAAAGUAAUCGUAACAAUAUAUUUGUGAGACUAACUGGCAUACAUCUCAACUUUGUAUUAUCAACAAUUACUUGCUGUUUUUUUUUGUCAUUCAUCAACUUCAGUUAAGGUAUAUGUUAAGUCAAAUAUGCAUUUUAGCAAAUAAAGUCUUAUUAACAUAGUCAAUUUAAAAAUAUUAAUGAAUACAUCUUUCAAUUGUAUCCAGGAUAAGUUAUGUGUCGAGUCCAGUAGUUAAUUAUGUGAUACCAGUCUAUGUUUAAGCAUGGUUAUUGUUUAUAACAAGUUCAUUAAUAUUAUCUACGAGAAAAAUGUUAUUUGAGAUAGUACAUGCUUAAAGUAGGUUGUAUGUAAUCAAUAAUAUAACCACAGUUUUUGAGAUGCUCAUAUUACUAUUGUUUGAUGAAAUAUUUUCUAUAGAUAGAAAACUGUGAACUUCCUAGCAAUGAACUUAACUUAACAUGUGUCUGAGGAGGUAUCAUGGCUUAAAAUUCAAAGGAUAUGGAGAAGUUGUUGGAGACCUUAAUGGGAUUUCUGUAUGUUUUACCAUGUAGUAUGUGUAUAGUACGUAUAAGAUUCUAUUUGAGUAGACUUUCAGUGUAAUAUUUUUGAUUUAUUACUUAGUAACAGUUCGUUUGUUAAGGUUUUCCAUUUAUGAAGGCAUGAUCAUAGACUCUUAUGAUGUAAGCUAUUGGUAAGUAGUAACAACCUUAGAUUUGGGGUUGUGAUAUAUAGUAUGAAAGUCAUGUAUAUUAUAUAGUAGUUUAUAACCCGUGAGAACUACGGUUAUAAAAUUAAUUAAAUUUUUAUAUUAAAAACUCAAAAUUGUUAAUCAAUUAUUGUAAAUAAAUUAUUAGUGAAGAGAUAUUUUUUUAGUUAUAUAAAACUAUAAUCAUUGAUUUAAAUAAAUGCAUGAAGGUAUAUCACCUUAUAAUCUGUAUUAAUUUUAUUUUAUUUUUUAAUCUAAUUUUAUUAAUUUAAUAUAGUUAAAGUGAAAUUUUUAAAUUUUAAAUUCAAAAAUUGAGAAUCAAUUAUUAAUUUAAUGUAAUUAGAGUGAGAAAUUUAAAAUUGAUAUUAAUAAGUUGAUAAGUGGCAUGAUAGGUACAUAUGAUAUUAAUGAGGAAUUCUAAUAGUAUGAUACUUGUCAAUAGGAAAUUAAACCUAUUCAAUUAUUAGAAUAGGGACUAGGUUAUAAACUUGGGUACAUUACUUUGUUAACAAUUUAUAAUAAUAAAAAAUUCAUGAAAUAUUUAAAACCCCAUCACCUGAUCUCAAUUCUCAAUCAAUCAAACUCCUCCAGUUUGACAAUGUAUGUAAUUCACUAUGAUUUUAAUUAUCUGUUAGUUCAUUAAGUUAUAACCUUUGAGUAAAAAUAAAAAAGAACAGGGAUCAUCUUGUAUAUUUACACUAAAGUUAUAACCUUUUAUUAAAAGAUAAUAUAAAUUUGUAAAAUUGAUCUCUAUGGUAUAUUGCUUUUCCAAGUUUCAGUCCAAAGGUAAAAUAGUCAUUUAAAAAUUUUAAAGUUGAGUGGUUAAAUUUAACGAUUCAAUUGUUUAUUGAUCAGUUUUCACAAAGAAAACUUAUAGUGUUUUCAAAUGAACAUGAAAAUGAAGUCCAAUUUAUACUAAUCUUCUCCCAAGAGAAUGAUUUCCAGCCAAAAAUUCUAGUGGCAUGGUUCUAAAGUCAUUAUAGAUAGAAUCAAUCAUGUUGACAACUGUUUGUAUUUUUGGCUUGUUUUUGUCCAAAACAAUUUUUGUUGUAAGAUUCUUCUAUGGAAGAUGUUGAUCCCUCAAGUUUAAGUGGAUGAUAAUUGAUAUGGCCUAAAGUCUCAAAAGAUGAAGGGACUAUUAUACCCUUUGGAAGCAAUGCCUCUAAAAUCUGCAAUUUUUGCAUAAACAUGAUUCAAAACAUUCCAAGAAAUAAACUUUAUUAAAGGGUUCACAUUGAAUGCUAUACUUCAUAAUAGGGGCAAAUUUAGUUGGAAAUUUUUAUGGUUACAAUGGAUAGUUGGAUACCACAUUCAUUUGCCAAUAACUGAUUGGUAAAGCAAAGUCAGCUUGUGUCUCAUAAGUUCAAAAUGGUGAUCCUGUUAAGCAAGCCUAAAGAAAAUAGAUUAGAUGUUCAAGUAUUCCAUAUAAUCAACUCAUAAUUCAGGUAAAGUAAGAUGGAAUGAGAAUACCUUAAUUGCCUCAGGCAUUUCAUCGAAUGGCUUGUAUGUAUGUUUCUCAUCCAAAAACAAUAACCUUCUUCAGCCUUUCCAUUUUGCUAACCUUUACUCAAAUCCUCCACUUUCUCAUGUCACUUGCAUGAUU
RNAcentral lists this long non-coding RNA (2617 nucleotides) under Lactuca sativa (garden lettuce). RNAcentral's name for it is "long non-coding RNA (LSAT_LNC000284)". The record is from RNAcentral. Lineage: Eukaryota; Viridiplantae; Streptophyta; Magnoliopsida; Asterales; Asteraceae.